GAGUUUGAUCAUGGCUCAGAACGUACGCUGGCGGCACGCCUAACACAUGCAAGUCGAACGAAGUAGCAAUACUUAGUGGCAGACGGGUGAGUAACAUGUAGGUAUCUACCCUUUGGCCUGGAAUAACACGAGGAAACUUGUGCUAAUACCGGAUAAGUCUUUACGGAGAAAGCUUUAUGCACCAUUGGAUGAGCCUGCACUUGAUUAGUUUGUUGGUAGGGUAAUGGCCUACCAAGACUGUGAUCAAUAGCUGAUUUGAGAGGAUGAUCAGCCACAUUGGGACUGAGACACGGCCCAAACUCCUACGGGAGGCAGCAGUGGGGAAUCUUGCACAAUGGAGGAAACUCUGAUGCAGCGAUGCCGCGUGAGUGAAGAAGGCCUUUGGGUUGUAAAGCUCUUUCGUCGGGGAAGAAAAUGACUGUACCCGAAUAAGAAGGUCCGGCUAACUUCGUGCCAGCAGCCGCGGUAAUACGAAGGGACCUAGCGUAGUUCGGAAUUACUGGGCUUAAAGAGUUCGUAGGUGGUUGAAAAAGUUGGUGGUGAAAUCCCAGAGCUUAACUCUGGAACUGCCAUCAAAACUUUUCAGCUAGAGUUUGAUAGAGGAAAGCAGAAUUUCUAGUGUAGAGGUGAAAUUCGUAGAUAUUAGAAAGAAUACCAAUUGCGAAGGCAGCUUUCUGGAUCAUUACUGACACUGAGGAACGAAAGCAUGGGUAGCGAAGAGGAUUAGAUACCCUCGUAGUCCAUGCCGUAAACGAUGUGUGUUAGACGUUGGAAAUUUAUUUUCAGUGUCGCAGCGAAAGCGAUAAACACACCGCCUGGGGAGUACGACCGCAAGGUUAAAACUCAAAUGAAUUGACGGGGACCCGCACAAGUAGUGGAGCAUGUGGUUUAAUUCGAAGAUACGCGCAGAACCUUACCAACACUUGACAUGUUCGUCGCGACUUUAAGAGAUUAAAGUUUUCGGUUCGGCCGGACGAAACACAGGUGCUGCAUGGCUGUCGUCAGCUCGUGUCGUGAGAUGUUGGGUUAAGUCCCGCAACGAGCGCAACCCUCACUUUUAGUUGCCAUCAUUUAGUUGGGCACUCUGAAAGAACUGCCAGUGAUAAGCUGGAGGAAGGUGGGGAUGACGUCAAGUCCUCAUGGCCCUUACGUGUUGGGCUACACACGUGCUACAAUGGUAUUUACAACAGGAAGCAAGACGGCGACGUUAAGCAAAUCCUUAAAAAAUACCUCAGUUCGGAUUGCACUCUGCAACUCGAGUGCAUGAAGCUGGAAUUACUAGUAAUCGUGGAUCAGCGUGCCACGGUGAAUGCGU
Molecule: ribosomal RNA, 1315 nt
Filed under: unidentified marine bacterioplankton
Lineage: Bacteria
Description: bacterial SSU rRNA
Rfam family: Bacterial small subunit ribosomal RNA
Source: RNAcentral